RNAcentral lists this ribosomal RNA (473 nucleotides) under Lasioseius sp. 1 NFS-2015. RNAcentral's name for it is "bacterial SSU rRNA". It matches the Rfam family "Eukaryotic small subunit ribosomal RNA", at positions 557 to 1035 of the family's 1831-position model. Lineage: Eukaryota; Metazoa; Arthropoda; Arachnida; Mesostigmata; Blattisociidae. The record is from RNAcentral.
AAGUCUGGUGCCAGCAGCCGCGGUAAUUCCAGCUCCAAUAGCGUAUAUUAAAAUUGUUGCGUCUAAAAAGCUCGUAGUUUGAAAACUUGCCUUAGCUUACAACAGGUCCUUAACUGGGGCCGCCGUUUGUUGAGAGCAAAUAUCGAUGACUGUUUUUGCCGACUUCGUUGUUUGGCUUAUAAGAGUUAUCAAAUAUCACUUUGAUUAAAUUAGAGUGCUUAAAGCAAGUGUGUUACUUGGAUAUAAAUGCAUGGAAUGAUGGAAUAUGUUGUUGUUCUAUUUGUUGGUUUUUGAACGAUAAAAUGAUUGAAAGGAACUGUUGGGGGCAUUCGUAUUGUUGUGAGAGAGGUGAAAUUCUUAGACCACAGCAAGACGAACUACUGCGAAAGCAUUUGCCAAGAAUGUUUUCAUUGAUCAAGAACGAAAGUUAGAGGUUCGAAGGCGAUCAGAUACCGCCCUAGUUCUAACCAUAA